GCUGUAGCUCAGUAGCAGAGCAUCUGUUUUGCAUGCAGAAGGUCCCAGAUUCAGUUCCUGGCAUCUCCA
Podarcis lilfordi (Lilford's wall lizard) is the source of this 69-nucleotide non-coding RNA. NCBI's taxonomy places the organism in Eukaryota, Metazoa, Chordata, Lepidosauria, Squamata, Lacertidae. The record is from the annotation of a GenBank genome assembly.